Molecule: non-coding RNA, 119 nt
Organism: Myotis davidii
Lineage: Eukaryota; Metazoa; Chordata; Mammalia; Chiroptera; Vespertilionidae
Source: Rfam
CAUGCACCAGUGGGGUCCCUCAGCCUGGCCUGCAGGAUCAGGCCAAAACCGGCUGUCUGACAUCCAAGGGGUCCCGUAUUGCGAGAGCAGGCCAGGCUGAGGGACCCCACCAGUGCACA